UACGGAGGGUGCAAGCGUUAAUCGGAAUUACUGGGCGUAAAGGGUGCGUAGGUGGUCAGCUAAGUUAUCUGUAAAAUCCCUGGGCUUAACCUGGGCAGGUCAGAUAAGACUGGUUGACUCGAGUAUGGGAGAGGGCAGUGGAAUUUCCGGUGUAGCGGUGAAAUGCGUAGAGAUCGGAAGGAACACCAGUGGCGAAGGCGGCUGCCUGGCCUAAUACUGACACUGAGGCACGAAAGCGUGGGGAGCAAACAGG
RNAcentral lists this ribosomal RNA (253 nucleotides) under uncultured bacterium. RNAcentral describes it as "partial 16S ribosomal RNA". It matches the Rfam family "Bacterial small subunit ribosomal RNA", at positions 524 to 776 of the family's 1533-position model. The record is from RNAcentral.